CCCACAAUUUUCCUAAAGGCUUUUUUUUUGUUCUCUCUGGUACUAAUGAGUUAGCUGCGUAGGCAGCGGCUUGAUAAGGGGAAAAUGAACUGAAUCAUUAAGCUUUCUUUAUCGUCUCCUCUUUACAGACCACAAAACUGAGUGGAGAAAUUUCCACCAAAAACUUUAAUAUGGAAAAAAGAGGAAAGAAAUGAAAACAUCAGGAUCCCCCCCACAAAGCUCUGCAAAGUGAAUGUGCGGUUGCACGAGGCAAGCUGGUUCAUGGAACCACCCCGAAGAGGUGUUCUGGAAAUCGGUUGAUUAUCUCCAAAUGUUAUUUUUCAUUCUCGGAUUCAUCAAAACCAUCGACUCAAGGUGCCUUGCGAAGAAUGAGCAGAUAAUGGACAGAUGAGGAAACUGAAGUGCAUGGAUGUUAAAUUGUCCAUUAACGUGGUGGAGUGUGACGGGCAGAAGCUGCCUCGCAGAAUGAGGCAGAACGUGCAGCUUUGCCCUCACAGCAGGAAUGGCAAGCCCAGAGUGGGUGUGAUGGGGAGCUUGUGUGUGGCAGAUGCUGUAGAAGUCAACCAGGUCUCAUCUGUGGAAACGAAACACCUCAAAACCUCUUGUUUUUAGAGAGGGCUGGAGACUCUCAUUCCCUAGCUCCCCAGAGUCCUGAAGACACUGGGUCCUUCUCUGGCUGUUGUCAACAGUAGAUGGAAGCCGGAGAAUCUAAGACCACGUUUUCUCCUUGCGGUAGCUGGAACCUGGGUCCGUGUCUAUGAGAGAGAGCCUCCCACAGGGCUGUGCCCUUUGCCUUUCCAUUGGACAAUCAUCCCAGUUUCAGACUCUGACCACAUGUCCUCUGUUCUGCAGGCAUGGAGACCAAAGCUCUUCCUGUCGUCGUUGGCACACCAUUUCAGCGUAUGGAGAGAGCUUUUCAGGAGGUUUACUUUCUCUUCUGGCUUUGACAUUUCCUUUCCUGCUGGACCUAGAGUGUAUUACACCAUCUGACAGUCUCUGCUUUAGUAUAUGUUCAAUGGGAAUGGUGGACCCAUGUGGCCGCUGGGAUCAGCUAAGAUGAAAUGUAUGAAACACAUUGCGUGGUACUUAGUUGGUGGCUGGUCCCCAAAUUUAUAAUAGACAAAUCUCCUAUAUUGCUUCUCUUGUAUAAACGCAUAUGAGUGAGCCUGGAGGGAAGGAGAAAAAGAGAGAGAGGGAGGGAUGGAGGGAAGGAUAGAGGGAGGGAGAGAGACAGAGACAUGGAUUCCAAUCUAGGCUCUUGACUUUCAUGUCCUUUGACUGAAACCUCAGAGACAUAUUUUACUUCACUGUUUGACACAUAUGCACAGACGCUUACAAUUCAAAUACAGAUUUUGUGAACAAAUAUAGGCUUUAACUACAUGCAAUGUGCUGUACUCUUUACCACUCUGUCUAGUUCCUCCCGUUCCCUAUGGAGUGGAGAAACCAAACUCCAUAUCCCCAGAGGCUUCUUCUCCCUACCCUCAACUUAAUAGAGAGCUGGCUCAGGAAGUCUAAGCCAUCCCAUGGAAGGACAGACUCUCUCUGUCAUUUCCUCAAGCAGGCACUCCCUGUACCCCUGUGUUGUAGAGACCCACGGGCCUGAGUCUUUUGCUGUGGAUGCCCAGUCAAGUCAGCUCAGCGGGAUGCUCAGGAGGAAGCUCCUGUAUACACUGCUCCUGGUCUUCUUCUUUUUUUUCUGAGACAGGGUUUCUCUGUGUGGAGCCUGUCCUGGAACUUACUCUGUAGCCCAGGCUGGCCUUGAACUCACAGAGAUCCGCCUGCCUCUGCCUCCCGAGUGCUGGGAUUAAAGGCGUGCGCCACCACCGCCUGGUCUUCUUAUAGGUCUCCUAUGAGCAUUUGUUUGAGACAAGACCUCUUUGUAGCCCAAGCUGCUCUUGAACUUUUGAUCUUCUGCUUCCAUCUCCUGGGUGCUGGGAUUGUAGGCAUGCGCUCUUACAUCUGGUUUAUGUAGUGCGAGGAUUCAACAUGGGUUUUACUUGUUUAAAAACAAGCCUGUCAGAUCUAGCUGGCUUUGCCUUCCUGGAAGCAGAGUGACUGGAGGACCAUGGGCUCCUGUUUGGACCUCAGUUCUCUGGUGAGGAAGAGCUGUUCUUUCUUCAUAUUGUUCAUUCUUCAAAGGGAGGUUGGUCAACUCAGCCUGGAGCAAAAGAAGCCUAAUUCUCAUUUGUGGUCCAGGCCACAGAAGGCUUUGUUCAACUUCCUGUGGUCUUGACCUCUUAUCUGGGGCAGGCAUGAAGAACAAAGCCACCCAGAGGGGUGGGGAGGUGCUUCUCUCUGGUGCGUCUGCUAAGUGGUUAACCGCAGGUCAUGAGAACAGGUGAUGGUUGGAACGAUGAAGAAAGCCUACUCUACCAAGCACCGUGGAGUUCAAUUGCUAAGUUACUGAAGACCAGUGCAAGUGCAGUGGUGGACAACCAUUUAGAGAGGUUGGUGCUGAUGACCUUUCCUGGACAGCCCGUACCCAGACACAACUGAAGAGGAGUUGCAUCAGACCUCACAGAUGAGGGAUGUCAUGAAAAAGGUGAAGGGAUUUCUGGUUUGCUUUCCCACUCUCAUAAACGAGGACCCCUGUUACAGAGCAAUUGAACUCGGAUAUGGGAAGGAGACUUCUUCCACACUUCAGCUGUUGUGCCAAAGGACAUAGGUUAUGGCAUGAGAUGGGGGUGGGGUGGCAUCUACAGCAUUAAAGGGGAACAUCUGAGGAGCAACAGCAGGAGAAUUUGGAAAAGGAGUUCUUCAUAGAAAUGCAAUGAAAACCGCGCUGAGAUUUCAUCUUUUCCAGUUGGUGUGGCUCUUAUCCUGCAAACCAAAGAUGACAAACACUGGCUGAGAAACGGGGAAAGAAGAGCCCUUCACACUGCUGGUGAGAGUGUACUCUGGUGCAGCCACUGGGGAAAUGGCUGUAGAAAUUCUUCAAAAACUAAAACCGAAUCACCAUGUGAACCAGCCAUGCCGUGCCUAUGUUUAUACCCUAAGGCAUCUAAUUCAGACUACCACCACUGCACAUCCAUGUGUACAGCCAAGAAGUGGAACCACCAGCAAAGCUAUUAGAUGUAGAUAGAGACAAUAUGGUUCAUGACAUGAUGGGUUUUGCUUAGCUGUAAAGAAGAGUGGAGCUGUGACAUUUGCAGGAAAAAUAGAUGGAACAAGAGAUCGUUAAGGGAAAUAAGCCAGACUCAGAAAGACAGCUAGCUCAUUUAGUGGGAAGGAGAGG
Long non-coding RNA from Peromyscus maniculatus bairdii (prairie deer mouse), 3235 nucleotides. RefSeq lists it as uncharacterized. NCBI's taxonomy places the organism in Eukaryota, Metazoa, Chordata, Mammalia, Rodentia, Cricetidae. The record is from RefSeq and is a predicted model, not a curated record.